Molecule: ribosomal RNA, 253 nt
Filed under: uncultured bacterium
Lineage: Bacteria
Description: partial 16S ribosomal RNA
Rfam family: Bacterial small subunit ribosomal RNA
Source: RNAcentral
UACGGGGGGGGCAAGCGUUGUUCGGAAUUACUGGGCGUAAAGGGCUCGUAGGUGGCCAACUAAGUCAGACGUGAAAUCCCUCAGCUUAACUGGGGAACUGCGUCUGAUACUGGAUGGCUUGAGUUCGGGAGAGGGAUGCGGAAUUCCAGGUGUAGCGGUGAAAUGCGUAGAUAUCAGGAGGAACACCGGUGGCGAAGGCGGGUCUCUGGGCAGUAACUGACGCUGAGGAGCGAAAGCAUGGGGAGCGAACAGG